GGUUCACCAUGACACAGGUGGAGGCGUGAGUAGCCGACAUCUACUGCGUCCUCUUCGACGCCGCACCCAACGCCAAGUCUGUCAUGCUAGAGCUGUGGUGCAAUCAGCAUGUCGAGUAUUUGACGAAAGGGCUCGAUGCCGAGUAUUGCUUCUCCAAUGUAAAAUUAACUCGAGUGUCGUCCCUGGUUAUUAUUUUGCUUGACAUUUUUCAUUCCAGUCGACCUUGGUUAUUAUGCUAUUGGAUGGUUCAUGGACUCGCGUUGCUGGAUGAAACGCUUGGCGAUGACCUCGAGAACGAUAUUGUAGACUUCUUUUCUCGAUGCCAGGAUAGGUUCAAGCCAAGUAGCUAACAUCCCCUUCUACCCAAGGUCAAGCAUUCAGCGGCGACAUCAGAGGAGACAUCGUCACACGGAAGUUUGGUACCUCGAGCCAUACUUAUCACUUGUUUCUUUCUUUUCUCUUGCCACUGAGUGCAAUCCCUCUUUUCCCAUGCAGCCCCUUCUUUGGACAAGCAAAAGCUCUGGCCGCCAUGGAUGCCAAUGAGAUUCUCGACCAAGGUUCACCUGGGCCUGCAUCCUCCAAAAACAAGAUGCAUCCACCUAUCAAGGUUAGCCGGAAGUUACCAACUUGCUUUGUAAAAGUCUUGGGAUUUUUAAAGUUUGUAGGAACCCUUUUUGAAUAGACGGACAUUUUAGAUAUUUGCUUGCAAGACCAAAAGAAAAUAUGUUGACAAAUGAACCUGCUUAUGCAGAAUGCUUUUGAGGAUAUUCAUACAAAAUUCUUUGUCAGUGUGCUUGCUUGACUGGGUUAAUAAGAAGAAUCAUGCAACAGUCAAGAAAAUGAACUAUUGCCCAUGUACAGAUCAAGUGAUUUUAGUCUCCCUUUCGGGAGAAGCCUAAGCCGAAAAUAACUGGCCUUGAGUACUUUUCAUUCGUAUGCAUUCCAUACUCAGGGAAUAAGUCUUGCGUAUGUGUGUGUAUACUGGAAUUGUAACUCACUGUAGUAAUUCAUAAUUAGUUCCAUCUUUUACUUUGAUACUGCAAAAAUAGGGAGGAAAUAUUGUGUGAGUCAGUAUCUCAAAGAUAAACAAGGGGAAGAUUUUAAUAUGCGGUGUCUCAGGCUGUUGAUUUUUUAGGCUUAUUUUGGCCAUAGAUUUAUCCUGUUCAUACGCUUAAAUAAAAUAGUUAAAGUUCAUGUCUAUGAUUUGUAUGAAAAAUAUGGGAUGUGCUUACGAAUCUGCAAUAUUUUCAUCCUAUAGGGUUUACUUCUUUCAGCUCUUGGUUGUAUGCCUGAAUAGAAUAACCGAAGUUCGAAUUUAUGUGUGGUAACAAACUAAAUAUGAGAAGCAUUUGUCAUGUUCUAAGAAAUAGUAUAUUGUAAACGAUCGGGUGAAUUUUGCACUUCCAUUUCUAGGUGUGUUGUUUCAGGAUUUUGGAGCUUCCUGUCUAUAUUUCCGGAUGCCUUUUGUGGUUUCAAAUAGUGGUGCUUCUCAAGUUGUUUUGUUUGCAGGUCUGGCAAUAUUCAUUUGCGCCUAGCUCCUAACAUACAUGGAUCAAUCAUUUUAUUAUUUUGUCAUCUCAUGUACUUUCACAUGAUGUUAGAGUUCAUUGUCUGAAUUGUUAUUUAGGUGAUAGCUUUGUGAAAAUAAUAAUAGUUAGAAGCUCAGAAUCGUGAGAGAUCGAUGGUAUUUCCAAACUGGAAUGGCAAUGCUAAGUCUAAAUUUUACAUUCAAGUGGAAAUCAUGUUGGUAUUUGGUGCAUGACAAGGUGCAAAUUUCCUAACUUUUGCAAGAUGGUCUGCUUGGUUUGUGCUGAUCUGCUUAAGUCUUUGUUCAACGAUUAGAUACGAAGUCUACUCGCCAGGAGGAGCAUGAAUAGUACAUCGAUAGAGGAAGUAGGAGUUCUCCGAAAUGAUCAUCUACAAGCACAGUACAUAUUUGUUGAUUGCUAGCACUAUCUAUGUUUCCAUAGCAUUGUUUCCAACUGCUGUAACACCUAUUUUUACAAUAUAAGGUAUGAACUACCUGGCUUUAUUUUGAACUUAUGUACUGAUGUAGAAUGAUGGCUCCUGUUUUUUACUUGCUGGUAUGAACUGUUUCGUUGUAUUUUGUAAAGCUCAAGAAUUUACUUAUGAUGCUAACUAACAUUGCUACAACAUUUGUAUAGACUACCUCUAAUAAUUAUCCUUUCCUUGCCGUUUGGCAUUUUUUUUGUACAAUUGCUCAUUAUCUUAUCAAUGUUGAAGCUACAUAUAUUAGAAACACUUAUUAAUUACAUUGCGUUGGAUGCAAGCUGUUGUUCUGCUUGCUGUUACCUCUUUUGAAAUACCAGGUGUUUGAUCAGCACCUAAGGCAGAUAGCUAGCGCACUUCCUAUUAGCUAUAAACUUCUCUAUUUUCUUCUUCACUUUAUUAUUAUCAUGUAUGAACACAUAUGCUAAAUCUGGAUUCAUGUACCUGUUUGAUCAAAACGUUGGGACCGGCACCCUCGCGCC
Molecule: non-coding RNA, 2492 nt
Organism: Aegilops tauschii subsp. strangulata
Lineage: Eukaryota; Viridiplantae; Streptophyta; Magnoliopsida; Poales; Poaceae
Source: RefSeq, a predicted model, not a curated record